UCUUCCCCAACCCCUUUCUCUACUCCUAUCUCAGGUUUGCAGGGAGGACACUGACCAGUGGGAGCCUGGUUCUGCUGACUCUGGAUGCCCGGCCAACUGGAACUGCCCAGCUGAUUGUCAACAGUGAGAAGAUGGUAAUUGGUACCAUGCUGGUGAAGGAUGUUAUUCAAGCUCUCACCCAGUAACUCCCAAAUGCUGUGAUGCUGAGACCUCUUUGGUCCUCACAUACCCUUCCUCCAUGACAUCUAAGCUAUUAGUCCCUUUCUUUCUCUUUCUUUGUGUCCUAUCAGCUUCCUCAUGCCAGAUAGCAUCUGGAAUGGGGUCUUCUCUCCCUCAGUAGUCUUUACUAUGCCUUCCCCCAAACCCUUCCUCAUGGGUUCCUCAGUGACCUGUGCAGAGGGAGACAGUAUCUGCUGUCUUCAGCCCUUCCAGCUUUCUGUAGCUAUUUGUAUAGUAAAAUCUCAAUAAAAUGUCUUCUCCCUAGAUGUUGA
RNAcentral lists this long non-coding RNA (491 nucleotides) under Marmota monax (woodchuck). The record is from RNAcentral. Lineage: Eukaryota; Metazoa; Chordata; Mammalia; Rodentia; Sciuridae.